This 510-nucleotide ribosomal RNA is filed under the name uncultured bacterium. Its description in RNAcentral is "bacterial SSU rRNA". It matches the Rfam family "Bacterial small subunit ribosomal RNA", at positions 791 to 1315 of the family's 1533-position model. The record is from RNAcentral.
UAGUCCACGCCGUAAACGAUGUCUGCUAGCCGUUGGCGAGUUUAACUUGCUAGUGGCGCAGCUAACGCGAUAAGCAGACCGCCUGGGGAGUACGGCCGCAAGGUUAAAACUCAAAUGAAUUGACGGGGGCCCGCACAAGCGGUGGAGCAUGUGGUUUAAUUCGACGCAACGCGCAGAACCUUACCAACCCUUGACAUCCUGUGCUAACCCGAGAGAUCGGGCGUUCCCUUCGGGGACGCAGUGACAGGUGCUGCAUGGCUGUCGUCAGCUCGUGUCGUGAGAUGUUCGGUUAAGUCCGGCAACGAGCGCAACCCACGUCCUUAGUUGCCAUCCGUCUGGUGGGCACUCUAAGGAAACUGCCCGUGAUAAGCGGGAGGAAGGUGUGGGAUGACGUCAAGUCCUCAUGGGCCCUUACGGGGUUGGGGCUACACACGUGCUACAAUGGGCAGUGACAAUGGGGUUAAUCCCCAAAAGCUGUCUCAGUUCGGGAUUGGGGGUCUGGCAACUCGA